GAAUAUUGCACAAUGGGCGAAAGCCUGAUCCAGCCAUGCCGCGUGGAUGAUGAAGGCCCUAGGGUUGUAAAAUCCUUUCGUUGGGGACGAUAAUGACGGUACCCAAAGAAGAAGCUCCGGCUAACUUCGUGCCAGCAGCCGCGGUAAUACGAAGGGGGCUAGCGUUGUUCGGAUUUACUGGGCGUAAAGCGCGUGUAGGCGGGCUUGCAAGUUGGGGGUGAAAUCCCGAGGCUCAACCUCGGAACUGCCUCCAAAACUGCAAGCCUGGAGCAAGAUAGAGGCAAGUGGAAUUGCGAGUGUAGAGGUGAAAUUCGUAGAUAUUCGCAGGAACACCAGUGGCGAAGGCGACUUGCUGGAUCUUUGCUGACGCUGAGACGCGAAAGCGUGGGGAGCAAACAGG
This 400-nucleotide ribosomal RNA is filed under the name uncultured bacterium. RNAcentral's name for it is "bacterial SSU rRNA". It matches the Rfam family "Bacterial small subunit ribosomal RNA", at positions 359 to 776 of the family's 1533-position model. The record is from RNAcentral.